Molecule: ribosomal RNA, 253 nt
Filed under: uncultured bacterium
Lineage: Bacteria
Description: partial 16S ribosomal RNA
Rfam family: Bacterial small subunit ribosomal RNA
Source: RNAcentral
UACGUAGGGGGCAAGCGUUGUCCGGAAUCAUUGGGCGUAAAGCGCGUGUAGGCGGCCCAGUAAGUCCGCUGUGAAAGCCCAGGGCUCAACCCUGGGAUGCCGGUGGAUACUGUUGGGCUCGAGUCCGGAAGAGGCGAGUGGAAUUCCCGGUGUAGCGGUGAAAUGCGCAGAUAUCGGGAGGAACACCAAUGGCGAAGGCAGCUCGCUGGGACGUGACUGACGCUGAGACGCGAAAGCGUGGGGAGCGAACAGG